Molecule: ribosomal RNA, 427 nt
Filed under: uncultured Actinomycetes bacterium
Lineage: Bacteria; Bacillati; Actinomycetota; Actinomycetes
Description: bacterial SSU rRNA
Rfam family: Bacterial small subunit ribosomal RNA
Source: RNAcentral
AACGCGAAGAACCUUACCUGGGUUUGACAUGCACAGGACGCGUCUAGAGAUAGGCGUUCCCUUGUGGUCUGUGUGCAGGUGGUGCAUGGCUGUCGUCAGCUCGUGUCGUGAGAUGUUGGGUUAAGUCCCGCAACGAGCGCAACCCUUGUCUCAUGUUGCCAGCGCGUUAUGGCGGGGACUCGUGAGAGACUGCCGGGGUCAACUCGGAGGAAGGUGGGGAUGACGUCAAGUCAUCAUGCCCCUUAUGUCCAGGGCUUCACACAUGCUACAAUGGCCGGUACAAAGGGCUGCGAUGCCGUGAGGUGUAGCGAAUCCUUUAAAGCCGGUCUCAGUUCGGAUCGGGGUCUGCAACUCGACCCCGUGAAGUCGGAGUCGCUAGUAAUCGCAGAUCAGCAACGCUGCGGUGAAUACGUUCCCGGGCCUUGUA